CACGUAGGGCGCAAGCGUUGUCCGGAAUCAUUGGGCGUAAAGAGCUCGUAGGCGGUCUGUUGCGUCUGCUGUGAAAACCCGGGGCUUAACCCCUGGCUUGCAGUGGAUACGGACAGACUAGAGGUAGGUAGGGGAGAAUGGAAUUCCCGGUGUAGCGGUGAAAUGCGCAGAUAUCGGGAGGAACACCGGUGGCGAAGGCGGUUCUCUGGGCCUUACCUGACGCUGAGGAGCGAAAGCGUGGGGAGCGAACAGG
This 253-nucleotide ribosomal RNA is filed under the name uncultured bacterium. RNAcentral describes it as "partial 16S ribosomal RNA". It matches the Rfam family "Bacterial small subunit ribosomal RNA", at positions 524 to 776 of the family's 1533-position model. The record is from RNAcentral.